UACGUAGGGGGCAAGCGUUGUCCGGAUUUAUUGGGCGUAAAGAGCGUGUAGGCGGUUUGGUAGGUCCGCUGUGAAAACUCGAGGCUCAACCUCGAGACGUCGGCGGAAACCCUCUGGCUAGAGUCCGGAAGAGGAGAGUGGAAUUCCUGGUGUAGCGGUGAAAUGCGCAGAUAUCAGGAAGAACACCCCGUGGCGAAGGCGGCUCUCUGGGACGGUACUGACGCUGAGACGCGAAAGCGUGGGGGAGCAAACAGG
This 255-nucleotide ribosomal RNA is filed under the name uncultured bacterium. Its description in RNAcentral is "partial 16S ribosomal RNA". It matches the Rfam family "Bacterial small subunit ribosomal RNA", at positions 524 to 776 of the family's 1533-position model. The record is from RNAcentral.